AGAGCGUGGAGGUGGCGCGGGCGCGGCGGUGGACCUGGGGGUCGUCACUCCUGCAGCUGGCAGCCGCCGCUGGGCGCUUCCUGUCGCAUCUCUCUUGUCCGGCGGGCGCCCAUCCCGCCCCGCCCCGGCCCGUGGACCUGCAAACCGAGGCUCAGAGCGGAUUUGCCCUAGGGGCUUUCACGAGCUUAGCAGAGGGGUUCCCGGCGGGGUUCCCUGGGGUCACGGGGCGCGAUGAGCAGCGAAGAAAGGAGGCGAGGAGCUGCGUCCGGGCUGGGUGCUCUCUGAACGCGAGGAGGCGGGAUGCGCUCGCCGGGGUCCAUGAUGUGCUCGGCGCCCGUCCCUGGGCCCGGGAAUUCGGCCGCUGGGGAACCCGGGCCAGCGAAUUCGCCCGCGAUCUCCGCGGAUCCCAGGACUGCCAGCGCUUUGGCCCUAGAUGGACGGUGGGGAAUGGGGUAGGGGGCUCCGGAACCCCUAACGUGGAUUACUUGGUGCAUAUCGCCCAGGCAUGGAAGACCCACCACCUCGUCUCCACCCAUGGAUUGAUGCCUUCUGCCGAACAGGUCGCUUACCUGGAGGUGAGUUUCCCCGCGAUUCCGGGGAAAGGAUCUGAUUGGACUGCCGCUUCAUUAUUCAGGCCGUGGUCCGAUGACGGUGGGACCAGAGAUUCCAGAGAGGGGCCCUCAGCCUCCAGGAGCCAGCCUCUUCCCCCGGGGAUGGAGCUGAGCACGCACGGCCGCAGUCGGCAGUGUGAACCUGAGUGGAACCAGAGAUUCGUGGCUGCUGUGAGUAGGUGCUUCUGACGGGGAAAGAAGGACAAGAUGAGAGGCCUGGAAGGAAGGACCGAUAAAGGGCUGUUCUUCCUCGCCCACGCUUCCCACCAGGAACUUCUGUGGAGCCAGAGUUUGCCGCCAGAACCCCCACAGGACCUGGGUGAAACAGGACCAUCUCUUAAGAGGCAAGAGCUCUUGAUUUGAUUGAGGAUUCUUAUUUUGGAGAACAAAGCAACUUCCAGAUUUGAGAAGACCUGCAGUUGAAGAAGACACCAUUGUCCCGGAUCCCUUGUUCUUCCUUCGCGUGGGAAAUGUUUCUUGGCGGGUGCCUGGUCUUAAGACUCCCCCACACCGGCCCCAGGGAAGCCAAGGACUUUCUGCCACACCCUUCCUCGCCCCCCACCUCCCACGUCCGCUGUGCCUUUGGACUCGGCAAUUCUUCUUGUUUGCUCCAUUAUCUUCCAGCCGGAUACAGAGUGAAUAGUUAACUACCCGCAGGUCAAUGGGGUCUUAAUUUUUGUUCCUGCUCCCUCUACAGAGGCCAGUGUCUGUGUGUUGCUAUGCAAGCGGCCUUGGAAUUGCAUCCCUUCUCAUUGAUUUGGGAUCUGGCCCCCGCAGGUUCCAGAGCAAUGCGGGUCCAGGCAGAAAUUCUUCAAGCUCUCAGGAUGUUGGAGGGGGCGCUGGCCGCGAGCUGGACCAUGAAGGCUGGCGUUCCCCACAUUCAGCUUUCUUGGGUUCGGAUCAUAAGCAGGUGUAGAUCUGGAGAAGCAGAAAAUGAACACAUUUUCUACUGACACCGAUGCACGGUCAGCGGUGAAGACCUUCUCCCAGCUAGCAUUUGGGUUCUGUGUCCAAACGCGGCGCUUCAUGGCAGAGUAUCCAGCCACCAGAGUUGGUGUGUCUUGAGGACCUGAAUUCUUGAGUGUGUGCUGGUGACACAGCCCUCUGACAGUCGAUGGGGCCUCACAAAACACAAGUCCUGCCUUUUCCUUUUCACUCUGUGGCCGUCAUACAUACGGCUAAAAACAUUUCCUAGAGAUCAGUCAUGGUUCAGUCGUGUCCAAAACGCAGAGCCAAAGAUGCAUUUUCUCUUUUCACAGCAAAUGAAUGACUUGCCUUCGGAAAAAGAAUGAAAGCCAGACAUUCUGCAUCUUUCCCGUGUUGUAGAUGAUGCAUUUGGAUGACCACUUUGUGACUUUGGUGUCUUAGAAGGGAAGCAGUGGGGUCCUUGGCAUCUCAGAUUCACCACAAAACAGACGAGGAGAACUUCUGGCGGAUGGUUUGUGCUUUUGAAAUGGGAGGCUUGUUUGUGGGCUUUUACCUUCCUUCCUUGACCUGCAGACACCUCAUUGCAUUAGAUUCCUUUGGGUUUUAAGAAGCAGAGACUUGCUGAUACUGCUCCGUACGUGCUGGUUUGUUUCGAGUUGCCAUGGACGUAAAGAAGAAAGGAAGCAGCCCGCCGAGGCGCUCUCCACCUAGGCCUGCCCAAGAAGCCCAAGUCGUUCCAGAUAGCCAGGGAUAGCAGAACCGAACCACCCUGGCCAUCUUGAUCUUCUGUUUGCACCAGCAUCCACUGUUCCCAGGAUCCUACCAUGGUGAUGAGCUGAGGGUGACUCAGUUGGCCCAGGACUGAGGAGUUUCCUGGGAUGCAGGACUUUUUAGUGCUAAACCUAGGACAGUCCUAAGCAAACUGGAACAACCAGUCACCCUACUGGGUGACUCGAGGACCCUGCCUCUCUUCUACUUUCCCUGCUGUGACUGGCUGAUGCUCUUGAUGGGUCUGGCCAGUCGCCAUUCAAAACUCUUGCGUCAGGCAACUUCAUUGGCCACUGGGCUACCUAUAGAUGGGUGCCCGUGGACCCAGCACCAACCCAUCUUGACCAGAUUUGUUGUUUCCAGGGUCAUAGGGUUGCAUAAUCUAGAAUAAAAGCCUGGCUGUAAACAACCAGCUGAGACCACUUCCUUCAGAAGACUGCUGUGGACAGGUGGCCCUGGCAGGCAUUCAAGGUAAAAUGAGUGAGUCAGGCCACACGCUUCCCAAAGCCUCUGCCAGCGCUGCCAUCCACAGGGCUGCCAUAUUGGAUGCAGUUCAUGACAAAGGAUUUGCUACUUUUUGUUCUCUCUGGCUCUCCUCCUGCCUUCCCUUCAGCUUGCUCCAAGAUCAUGUGCCCGGGAGCUCUGCCCACCGAGGAUGCCUCUUGUGUGAGGACCCUAAUCCUCAGUGGGUACCUGGAGGGUCCCGGGCCAAGAUCUCCACCUUCCUUAUGAUCCUGGGCCCCCUUCCAAGACAUUCCCACCCCUGGCUCCUCUGACGCCUCCCUCCCCACACCUGCGCUUCCUGUUUCAGGUUCCAGAAAGGGGCCCGGGGUUUCCGCGGGUGUCCUAAUCGCCAGAGUUGAGCUGAUAGGAAACCAGGCCAGGCCAUUCCACCCACGGGGUCGUGACCAGGGCCCUCUUGGGAGUUUCCUGGUUUAAAAAGAAACCAGAUUGAGGCCUGGGGGGUGGACUUCCUGGAGGAUGGCGGUCCAUGGGACAGGCGGCCGUUCCAGAGAAGAGGAAAGCCAGCAGGAACCGGCCUCGGGGGAAUUUCCUGGGCUGCGGUGUCCCAGUCUGAGGGGAGAAGCCUAGCUCUUGACCUUGCAGCGGGGUAGGGUUCCCGAGCACCCCCUGUUCCAGCCCCAUCUGCCCCCAUCCCGUUCCCAUUGAAAUAAUCACAGGGUAGGCCCGGCCUGGCUCCGUCGCCAUGACGACCGUUCUAAUUUCUUUUCAUCUCAGUGUUCCUUCCUAAAGGGACCUCCCCCAGCCCCCCGCUCCCCCCUGCAACGUGUUUUAAUUGUAAUAACUCCUGGGUUCUCGGGAGGUAAUGACCGUGUGUGGGGAGCCAGCGCUGGCCUGGCUCCAGCCCCAGCGUUGCCCGCCCAGCGGCGCCAGGCAGCCCUCUGCCUCCCAGCAGGGGCUCUGGAGGAGCCCGGGGCGGGCUUGGGCAGGGUCUGCCAAGAGGGUCUGCGGCCCUGUCGCUAAUGAACACAAGCCGGGGAGCCUCAGCCCUGCGGGGUUGUGUCCUGAGGACAUUUUAUUGGCACGCCUCCCCUUUACCCACCCCCAACCCCCCACGUCUCUCCUCACACCUUGAAGGGAUCCAUGGACCAUUACUCAGCCCCAGGCCCCAGCCGGCCAUGCUGCUUUGGGAUGUGACCCUGCAUGCGUGUUCAAAUCACCUGGGGUCUUAUUAUAACACAGUUUCCAAGUCUUGGGGAGCCCCACCACCUUGCAUUUCCAGCACCUCCCAGGAAACGCCCACACUGCCUGGCCAAAGACCACAGUCUUGAUAGCCAGCGUCCAGAGCACGCCUGUCCAACAGAACUUUCUUCGGAGAUGGAUAUGGCACUAUUUCCACGCUACGACCUAUUAUCCACAGGAGGCUAUGGAGUAGUUGAGAUGCGGCUAGUGUCACCAAGGAAGGGGGAUUUAAAUUUUAGUAAGCGUUCUUGUUUGGGUUCAGGCUCAUGGCAUGUGGAAGUCCCACGGCCAGGGAUCGAACCUGCACCAUGGCAGUGACCCGAGCCACAGCUGUGACAACGCCGGAUCCUUAACCCACUGAGCCACCAGGGAACUCCUGACUGUUCAUUCACUUAAAUUUAAAUAACCACAGGUAGACUGGUGGCUACAUACUGGGGAGCUUAGGAGGUUCCACUGCUCAGCGCAGGUCCAGACUUGGCUGCAAAAGGGAGGCGCCCGGGGGUGCGGGGCAGCCUCCUGGCAUCGUGCAGCCUGAAUCUGCUCCCGUCAACCCUACCUAUGCUGCGGCGACCCACCCUUUGCCAGUUCCUGUCCUGCUUUAUGAUGGACUGCCGAGAAGCAAGCAGAAGAUCUAAUGGCCUGGCUUGGAAAUAAGAACCUGAGUUGUGCCCGAAGCCAGAGACCUCUGCACACACCCAGUUUUUCUGGGAAGUCAGUUACAUUGGAAGCAAGGCUGAGGUGCCUGGGGCCAUGGUGGACUCCAGACGCUGUUCUAGGACGGCUCUCAUACUCCUCAUAACAGUAGGAGACAGUUGAGGAGGUGAUGCAAUAACGUUGCAGAAUCUCUCCGUCUCCUUUCCUUCUAGCAAAGCCCUCCCGGGCCGAGCUUUCCCAUCCGUGCGCUGAAAUAUUAGAUGUUCAGCUGGAAGUCCAACAGCAAAAUAUUUCUGAAAUUGUGUGUGUGUGUGUUUCUUUCUUUCUUUCUUUUUUUUUUCUUCUUCUAAUUUAAUGUGCCAGACAAGCCUCCCUGUAAUUAAAACCAGAAACAAGGACCAGACUUAGACAGAGAUUUGAAGGCUGUAAAAUUCUAGGACAGGUUUAUGUAAAGCAAUUAAAAAGGGAGUUAAAAAUUGUUAAAAAAUUAAA
This 5156-nucleotide long non-coding RNA is filed under the name Sus scrofa (pig). RNAcentral describes it as "lncRNA (ENSSSCG00060027393.1)". Lineage: Eukaryota; Metazoa; Chordata; Mammalia; Artiodactyla; Suidae. The record is from RNAcentral.